Molecule: long non-coding RNA, 2530 nt
Filed under: Olea europaea subsp. europaea
Lineage: Eukaryota; Viridiplantae; Streptophyta; Magnoliopsida; Lamiales; Oleaceae
Source: RNAcentral
AAGGGGUCCAACUUUUACUCUAAAAUUCUAAAGGUUGAAAGAUUCUCACUUAAAAAUGCCUCGGAUUGAAAGAACAUUUAGGGUUGGACCUCUUGAAAAGAAAAAUUCUACCGUUGACUUUAAAAAAAUUAUCCAUUUUGCAAGGUCAACAAUUUGAUGUAGUCUAUUGAAAUACUCACCAAAUCACGAGAAGAAAACACGCUUGGAACAAGAAAAGAUUGGGAAUAUGAGUGGAAGCUAAUCAAACAACAAUGAGAAGACGAUGAGAAGUGGUAGGACAGUCCUGCCAUCUCAGCUGAGAGGAACGUUUGGAGGAGAAGAAAUCGAAGGCCAAAAAUGGUAGCCAGGCUAACUCAAAAGGUAGUUGACAUGAUGACCAAUUUGCAACGUAUUAAUGAUGAAGAUGAUAUAAUGAAACAGUUCUUGAUGCACCAAGGCCAUGCAAUUCCGAGAUGAUGUAGGCAGGAGAAUAGCCGAGGACUCGUAAAGAAGCAGCCCACCUCUCAUAACUACCCCUCAACAGUCGUUACCAAGAAUACUUGUCCAUAUAGAGGAGCAUUCUCGUUUAUAUAAUGACUUUGCUCGGCAUCAUUUGAACUCGAAAGAUUCACAGAGGAAGAAAUGAGUGUUGACUGGUGAGUAAUCACAUCAAUUUUCAGUAAACAGUGACAGUAUCAAUUAACAUAUAACUAUGGUAAAUAGAGUAACAUCAAAGGAUCCUAACAAUCCUAGGGUUGAUAAGAAUUGUAAACUUUAUACAACAUGUUAUUUGCUAAUAGGUUCAUGGAGAGAAAGGUAAAAGGCAACAGUAACAGCACUCACAAAAGAAGAUGUGACCAUGGAUCCCAAAAAUUUCAGAUCCGCAAAAGAUUCAAUUAUCAAGUCCGGAAUCAAUCUAUAAAAGAAGAGCCUUGGCCGAUGGAAGGCAUCCCCCAACCUUCAGUUUUCUCUUUCAUUUGGUAAUCUUACAACCACUGCUGAAGAUUCAACUGUAAGUCUGAGACAUGUGUUCUACGAUUAAUUCUACGUUUUAAUGUUUUUAUGUACAAAUGUUGAAGAAAAUCUUUGGUUUAGACAGGGCUUCGUCCUCCCCAGAAGCAUUCUCCCGUGUCAGUAAAAAUGAAGUAUACGAAACACAUAGCUUCAGCCUUAAAUCUAGAAGGGAUAUAAAAACUCUCGAAAAAACAGUUUCUCUUAAAGUGGAAGAUAAGGCCCUUAGACUACUCGAUCGUGAUGUUGUAGCCAAGUUGAAGGAUAAAUAUAAAUACAUUCACAUAGGGCUAGUUCAGAUUGCAUUAUAUCCCUUAACCAGGCUAGGUUUAAACACCUCUAUUCUGGUAGCUUUAAGAGACUGCCGGCAUCUUAAUUUUAAUAACUCACUAAAGGGUCUUGUAGAGACUAGUUUAUGUGAAGGACCAGUUUAUUUUAACUGUUAUCCAAAUAUUUCUGUUUUCCUUACAGAUCCAGGCAUUUUAGACGCUUUAAUUUUAAACAUCGAAUCAAAAGGGUACGAUAUGGUGGCCUCAAGUAGACAUAUAGCCAUAACCUAUAGAGUUUGCUACAAGGUCAUGAAUACCAUUAAUCCUAAAGCCAAAAGAGUUAGUAAAAGAGGGACUUCCACUGUGAUUGAAACCAAUUCAAAAUCUAAUGUUACUCAAGUUAGGGCCAUUUCUUGGAAGGAUAUUAGCCUCCCAGAAAAAUGGACCCAACGAGGAGUAGCAGAACCGUCUCAGGAAGUUGAACGCACAAAUCAAACCCAUGAAGGAGGCGUUGAUCACUUACUUGAUGGUUUGAAAGCUCGAUGGAAUAUUUCAGAAUGACUGAUUCAUGAAAUCCAUGAAAGUGCCUUUUAAUGAAGGUCACCAAGACAAUCCGAAAGGAAAAUUUACAAAGAAAGAAUUCAAAAAUUCUUCAAGCAAUGUCAAAUAUUCUUGACGAAACUGAAGAUCAAUCAACGAAAUCAACUAUGAAUUCCUCAAAAGGAAAAGAAAAGGUCUCUUGAAUAGAGCAAGAUGAUGAUAUAGGUUACGAGGGUUAUACUCCAACAAAUGAAGAGUACUUAGGGAUGACAUUCCUUUAUGAAGAUUCCCUGGACAAAGAAAAUAAACAACCACCUUUUCAGAGAAACAGAUGGCUUUUCAAAAAGGCCUUAAAGGCAACAGUAACCACACUCACUAAAGAAGACGUGACUGUGGAUUUCAACAAUUUCAAAUUUGCAACUAAUUCUAUUGGGAACUUAUUUGAAGUUCGGAAUCCAUCUGCAAAAUGAGGGGCCUUAGCUGGUUGAAGGCAUUUCAAAAUUCAGAUUUUCUUUACAUUUUGUAAUUUUAUUACUCUGUAGUUUUACCGCUACUGCUGUCUGCUGAAGAUCCAAAGUCAUUCUGGAUUUCGGUAAGUCUUAUUUAGACUUCUAUUGUAUGUUGUAUGUUUAACUCUACUGUUUAAUAUUUUAAAUCUAUGUAAAAUAAUGUUGAGCUAGUAUAAAGUUUCUGUUUUGCGUUUAACUAACUACUAUUUCGUAGCACUUGGA